This 1177-nucleotide ribosomal RNA is filed under the name Nostoc sp. EERGCy-064. RNAcentral describes it as "bacterial SSU rRNA". It matches the Rfam family "Bacterial small subunit ribosomal RNA", at positions 156 to 1323 of the family's 1533-position model. Lineage: Bacteria; Bacillati; Cyanobacteriota; Cyanophyceae; Nostocales; Nostocaceae. The record is from RNAcentral.
UUUUGGGCUAAUACCGGGAUAUGCCGAGAGGUGAAAGGCUUGCUGCCUGAAGAUGAGCUCGCGUCUGAUUAGCUAGUUGGUGUGGUAAGAGCGCACCAAGGCGACGAUCAGUAGCUGGUCUGAGAGGAUGAUCAGCCACACUGGGACUGAGACACGGCCCAGACUCCUACGGGAGGCAGCAGUGGGGAAUUUUCCGCAAUGGGCGAAAGCCUGACGGAGCAAUACCGCGUGAGGGAGGAAGGCUCUUGGGUUGUAAACCUCUUUUCUCAGGGAAGAAAAAAUGACGGUACCUGAGGAAUAAGCAUCGGCUAACUCCGUGCCAGCAGCCGCGGUAAUACGGAGGAUGCAAGCGUUAUCCGGAAUGAUUGGGCGUAAAGCGUCCGCAGGUGGCUGUGUAAGUCUGCUGUUAAAGAAUCUAGCUCAACUAGAUAAAAGCAGUGGAAACUACAUAGCUAGAGUGCGUUCGGGGUAGAGGGAAUUCCUGGUGUAGCGGUGAAAUGCGUAGAUAUCAGGAAGAACACCGGUGGCGAAAGCGCUCUACUAGGCCGCAACUGACACUGAGGGACGAAAGCUAGGGGAGCGAAUGGGAUUAGAUACCCCAGUAGUCCUAGCCGUAAACGAUGGAUACUAGGCGUGGCUUGUAUCGACCCGAGCCGUGCCGUAGCUAACGCGUUAAGUAUCCCGCCUGGGGAGUACGCACGCAAGUGUGAAACUCACAGGAAUUGACGGGGGCCCGCACAAGCGGUGGAGUAUGUGGUUUAAUUCGAUGCAACGCGAAGAACCUUACCAAGACUUGACAUGUCGCGAAUCCUGGUGAAAGCUGGGAGUGCCUUCGGGAGCGCGAACACAGGUGGUGCAUGGCUGUCGUCACCUCGUGUCGUGAGAUGUUGGGUUAAGUCCCGCAACGAGCGCAACCCUCGUUCUUAGUUGCCAGCAUUAAGUUGGGCACUCUAGAGAGACUGCCGGUGACAAACCGAAAGAAAGUGGGGAUGACGUCAAGUCAGCAUGCCCCUUACGUCUUGUGCUACAAACGUACUACAAUGCUACGGACAAAGGGCAGCUACCCAGCGAUGUGAUGCAAUCUCAGAAACGUAACUCAAUUCAAAUCGAGGCGGAGUGCCGCUGAGGGAGAUAUGAGAAAAAAAAAACAACACAAAAGAAAAAGAGAACAAAAAAA